Molecule: ribosomal RNA, 479 nt
Filed under: uncultured bacterium
Lineage: Bacteria
Description: partial 16S ribosomal RNA
Rfam family: Bacterial small subunit ribosomal RNA
Source: RNAcentral
GAUGAACGCUGGCGGCGUGCCUAACACAUGCAAGUCGAGCGACGAACCGGGGCUUGCCCCGGGUCAGAGCCGCGAACGGGUGAGUGACACGGGGGUGACCUGCCCCCAUGACUUUGGCAGCCGGUCUAGAGACGGGCUAUUAGCGGAUGUGCCACUUGGGGGAAAGGAGGCUUCAGCCGCCGCAUCGGGCUUGGCCGGCUGCGCAUUAGCUUGUUGGUGGGGUAAGUGCGUACCAAGGCGACGAUGCGUAGCUGGUCUGAGAGGACGAUCAGCCACACUGGGACUGAGACACGGCCCAGACUCCUACGGGAGGCAGCAGUGGGGAAUCUUGCACAAUGCGCGAAAGCGUGAUGCAGCAACGCCGCGUGCGGGAAGAAGGCCUUAGGGUUGUAAACCGCUUUCAGUUGGGACGAAGCUUCGCUCGUGAAUAGCGGUUUGGAGUGACGGUACCUUAAGAAGAAGCGCCGGCUAACUACGUG